GGGGAUAUGGCGGAAUGGUAGACGCAGCGGACUCAAAAUCCGUUGGUUUCACAGGACCGUGAGGGUUCGAGUCCCUCUAUCCCCA
This 85-nucleotide transfer RNA is filed under the name Deparia pycnosora. RNAcentral's name for it is "tRNA-Leu". It matches the Rfam family "tRNA". From Rfam's summary of the family: Transfer RNA (tRNA) molecules are approximately 80 nucleotides in length. Their secondary structure includes four short double-helical elements and three loops (D, anti-codon, and T loops). RNAcentral also lists the same sequence under 2 other names. The record is from RNAcentral. Lineage: Eukaryota; Viridiplantae; Streptophyta; Polypodiopsida; Polypodiales; Athyriaceae.